This 465-nucleotide ribosomal RNA is filed under the name Vreelandella stevensii. RNAcentral describes it as "partial 16S ribosomal RNA". It matches the Rfam family "Bacterial small subunit ribosomal RNA", at positions 338 to 795 of the family's 1533-position model. The record is from RNAcentral. Lineage: Bacteria; Pseudomonadati; Pseudomonadota; Gammaproteobacteria; Oceanospirillales; Halomonadaceae.
CCUAGGGGGGGCUGCAGUGGGGAAUAUUGGACAAUGGGGGGAACCCUGAUCCAGCCAUGCCGCGUAUGUGAAGAAGGCCCUCGGGUUGUAAAGCACUUUCAGUGAGGAAGAACGCCUGGUGGUUAAUACCCAUCAGGAAAGACAUCACUCACAGAAGAAGCACCGGCUAACUCCGUGCCAGCAGCCGCGGUAAUACGGAGGGUGCGAGCGUUAAUCGGAAUUACUGGGCGUAAAGCGCGCGUAGGUGGCUUGAUAAGCCGGUUGUGAAAGCCCCGGGCUCAACCUGGGAACGGCAUCCGGAACUGUCAAGCUAGAGUGCAGGAGAGGAAGGUAGAAUUCCCGGUGUAGCGGUGAAAUGCGUAGAGAUCGGGAGGAAUACCAGUGGCGAAGGCGGCCUUCUGGACUGACACUGACACUGAGGUGCGAAAGCGUGGGUAGCAAACAGGAUUAGAUACCCCAGUAGUC